ACAGGAUUAGAUACCCUGGUAGUCCACGCCGUAAACGAUGUCGACUUGGAGGCUGUUUCCUUGAGAAGUGGCUUCCGGAGCUAACGCGUUAAGUCGACCGCCUGGGGAGUACGGCCGCAAGGUUAAAACUCAAAUGAAUUGACGGGGGCCCGCACAAGCGGUGGAGCAUGUGGUUUAAUUCGAUGCAACGCGAAGAACCUUACCUACUCUUGACAUCCACGGAAUUUGGCAGAGAUGCCUUAGUGCCUUCGGGAACCGUGAGACAGGUGCUGCAUGGCUGUCGUCAGCUCGUGUUGUGAAAUGUUGGGUUAAGUCCCGCAACGAGCGCAACCCUUAUCCUUUGUUGCCAGCGAUUCGGUCGGGAACUCAAAGGAGACUGCCGGUGAUAAACCGGAGGAAGGUGGGGAUGACGUCAAGUCAUCAUGGCCCUUACGAGUAGGGCUACACACGUGCUACAAUGGCGCAUACAAAGAGAAGCGACCUCGCGAGAGCAAGCGGACCUCAUAAAGUGCGUCGUAGUCCGGAUCGGAGUCUGCAACUCGACUCCGUGAAGUCGGAAUCGCUAGUAAUCGUGGAUCAGAAUGCCACGGUGAAUACGUUCCCGGGCCUUGUACACACCGCCCGUCACACCAUGGGAGUGGGUUGCAAAAGAAGUAGGUAGCUUAACCUUCGGGAGGGCGCUUACCACUUUGUGAUUCAUGACUGGGGUGAAGUCGUAACAAGGUAAC
This 728-nucleotide ribosomal RNA is filed under the name uncultured bacterium. RNAcentral describes it as "bacterial SSU rRNA". It matches the Rfam family "Bacterial small subunit ribosomal RNA", at positions 772 to 1500 of the family's 1533-position model. The record is from RNAcentral.